Molecule: ribosomal RNA, 492 nt
Filed under: uncultured bacterium
Lineage: Bacteria
Description: partial 16S ribosomal RNA
Rfam family: Bacterial small subunit ribosomal RNA
Source: RNAcentral
AGUGAACGCUGGCGGUAGGCCUAACACAUGCGAGUCGAACGGCAGCACAGUAAGAGCUUGCUCUUACGGGUGGCGAGUGGCGGACGGGUGAGGAAUACAUCGGAAUCUACUUUUUCGUGGGGGAUAACGUAGGGAAACUUACGCUAAUACCGCAUACGACCUACGGGUGAAAGCAGGGGAUCUUCGGACCUUGCGCGAUUGAAUGAGCCGAUGUCGGAUUAGCUAGUUGGCGGGGUAAAGGCCCACCAAGGCGACGAUCCGUAGCUGGUCUGAGAGGAUGAUCAGCCACACUGGAACUGAGACACGGUCCAGACUCCUACGGGAGGCAGCAGUGGGGAAUAUUGGACAAUGGGCGCAAGCCUGAUCCAGCCAUACCGCGUGGGUGAAGAAGGCCUUCGGGUUGUAAAGCCCUUUUGUUGGGAAAGAAAAGCAGCAGGUUAAUACCCCGCUGUUCUGACGGUACCCAAGGAAUAAGCACCGGCUAACUUCGUG